GACGAACGCUGGCGGCGUGCUUAACACAUGCAAGUCGAACGGAAAGGCCUAGCUUGCUGGGUACUCGAGUGGCGAACGGGUGAGUAACACGUGGGUGAUCUGCCCCUGACUUUGGGAUAAGCCUGGGAAACUGGGUCUAAUACCGGAUAUUCAUUUUUCCUCGCAUGGGGAUUUGUGGAAAGCUUUUGUGGUUGGGGAUGGGCCCGCGGCCUAUCAGCUUGUUGGUGGGGUAAUGGCCUACCAAGGCGACGACGGGUAGCCGACCUGAGAGGGUGAUCGGCCACACUGGGACUGAGACACGGCCCAGACUCCUACGGGAGGCAGCAGUGGGGAAUAUUGCACAAUGGGCGCAAGCCUGAUGCAGCGACGCCGCGUGAGGGAUGACGGCCUUCGGGUUGUAAACCUCUUUCAGCUCCGACGAAGCGCAAGUGACGGUAGGAGCAGAAGAAGCACCGGCCAACUACGUG
This 467-nucleotide ribosomal RNA is filed under the name uncultured bacterium. Its description in RNAcentral is "partial 16S ribosomal RNA". It matches the Rfam family "Bacterial small subunit ribosomal RNA", at positions 28 to 507 of the family's 1533-position model. The record is from RNAcentral.